This 254-nucleotide long non-coding RNA is filed under the name Lathyrus oleraceus (garden pea). RNAcentral's name for it is "Pisum sativum (pea) long non-coding RNA (PSAT_LNC024497)". Lineage: Eukaryota; Viridiplantae; Streptophyta; Magnoliopsida; Fabales; Fabaceae. The record is from RNAcentral.
GUACUACACCUGAGCCAAUACUUCAAGACUGAUGGAUCACUUAGAGCAAGAAAAUAGAGAACUCAAGGAGGAAGUGGCCAGAUUGACUGCCCUGAUGGAGUCUUUCAUGGCCGCCCAAAGCCAGUCAUCUCAAACGCCUUCAACUCCUCCCCAGAGGACAGUCAUCUCUGAGAUUGCCUCUUCAAUAGUGCCUGCUGCCAGCGCCCACUUUGCGCCUACUGCUAUGUCAGCCGGGUUUCCCUGGGGGAUGCUCG